Molecule: long non-coding RNA, 1133 nt
Filed under: Astyanax mexicanus (Mexican tetra)
Lineage: Eukaryota; Metazoa; Chordata; Actinopteri; Characiformes; Acestrorhamphidae
Description: lncRNA (ENSAMXG00005000280.1)
Source: RNAcentral
AUGGCUUCCUCCACGACGGAGCAGGAUCUGGGGCUGGAGCAGGAGCUGAAGGUGGUUCUGGAGGUGGUUGGUGCAGAAGACGGGGUGAAGCAACAGUCAGGCCAGGGGAGAGUGCAGGAAGAGGUUGGAGAAGAGUGUAGAGCUGCUGAGGCUGAAGCUGAGGCAACACUUCCGGUCUCAGGUGCCAGUUUUUCCCACCAGCAAGAACCAGUCUGGACUGACAAAAAAGAGGAGUGUCUGAACUGCCAGUGCCCAUCAGUUCCUACAGAGACCUCAGACCUUCAGCAGCUUUCAGACCAAACAGCACCACCCGUUGUGGAGCUCUCUAGCCCAACACAAAUACAAGACUGCCCACACCACCUGUGUCCUGAUCAAGAAACCUCAGAAGGAGGCCAAUAUGUCCCUUUAGAUGUUCCAGAACAUGACGAAACGGAGGAUAGAUCCAAUUUGAUUGGACCUAACCAGGAACAAGAAGUGAAACAAGCUCACCUGGAGGCUUUAGAAAGGGACCAAGAUCCAGAACCAAAGCAAGAGAACCAGGAGAACCCAAUAAACAUGUCAGACUCAGAGAAGAACGAGAACCAAGAGAGUCAAGUGUCUGAGCAUUGUGACUGGGAGGGAGCUGUCCCAAUUGUGAUGGUCACUAAUCUAGAGGAGGUGUCAGCAGAGAGGCAGGCAGAGGACGAGGCGGAAUCCGAAAAGCAGGAGGGCACCGUGCCCGCUGAUGUCAGCCCCUCUGCCAGUCCCAGUGACGUCACGGAGUUCAGCAGCGGUGACUUGCAGUUCCUGAAGAGCGACAGUGUGUCUCUCUGCAGUGAAACAACCAUCUCUGGCAAGAGUGAUGAACAAGAAGGGCCUGAAGAAGACACCAGGAGUGUAGCUGCGUCCUCUGUCAUGGAAGGCCCUGAGGAAGACACCAGGAGUGUUACAUCAUCCUCUGUCAUGUCUCUGUUCCAGAGGAUGCAGAUGGACCCUCUGGAGCGGGAAUGGUUACGGUGUGCUGCAUUAGGAAAUGCUCCUGGCCUGCGCCAGCUUCUGCUCCAGGACCCCUCCCUGGCCCCCAAAAAGGUGAAGCCCCCUUCAACCCCCCUUCCUUUUCUGCAGACCCCACCAGAAACAGUAAUGCCUUCUAU